AAGUCGUAACAAGGUUUCCGUAGGUGAACCUGCGGAAGGAUCAUUAACACUUUUUUCGGUGCUUUUGAAAAUUGGAAUCAAAUUCAAUUUUCGAGCCCAAUCCAAACUUACCCAAACUUUUUUUAAAGUGCUGGUGUUUUGCGAUCAAAAGCAAAACCCCUUUUUUUCUAUUUAUCAAAAACCCCAAAUCUUUCUUUGCAAAUGCAAUUGAACACUUAAAAAAACUACUAAUGUAACCAAACAACUCUUAGCAACGGAUAUCUUGGCUCUC
This 271-nucleotide unclassified non-coding RNA is filed under the name fungal sp. Its description in RNAcentral is "partial internal transcribed spacer region". The stretch from base 1 to 46 matches the Rfam family "Eukaryotic small subunit ribosomal RNA", at positions 1786 to 1831 of the family's 1831-position model. The record is from RNAcentral. Lineage: Eukaryota; Fungi.